This 365-nucleotide ribosomal RNA is filed under the name uncultured Desulfomonile sp. Its description in RNAcentral is "bacterial SSU rRNA". It matches the Rfam family "Bacterial small subunit ribosomal RNA", at positions 82 to 431 of the family's 1533-position model. The record is from RNAcentral. Lineage: Bacteria; Pseudomonadati; Thermodesulfobacteriota; Desulfomonilia; Desulfomonilales; Desulfomonilaceae.
GGCCAUGAGUAAAGUGGCAGACGGGUGAGUAAUACAUAGGUAACCUACCUCUAAGAUGGGGAUAACCUUCCGAAAGGAGGGCUAAUACCGAAUGAGACCACAGUGACUUUGGUCACAGGGGUCAAAGGAUGGCCUCUACUUGUAAGCUAUCGCCAAAAAAAGGGCUUAUGCACCAUUAGCUUGUUGGUGAGGUAACGGCUCACCAAAGCUGUGAUGGUUAGCUGAUCUGAGAGGUUGAUCAGCCACACUGGAACUGAGACACGGUCCAGACUCCUACGGGAGGCAGCAGUGGGGAAUAUUGGGCAAUGGGCGCAAGCCUGUCCCAGCCAUGCCGCGAGAGUGAUGAAGGCCUUCGGGUCUAAAGC